Long non-coding RNA from Zophobas morio, 793 nucleotides. RefSeq lists it as uncharacterized. The transcript is spliced from 4 exons. Lineage: Eukaryota; Metazoa; Arthropoda; Insecta; Coleoptera; Tenebrionidae. The record is from RefSeq and is a predicted model, not a curated record.
UUAUUUAUCAAGGAUCGUAUUUAAAAACUGUCAAUUUUUAAUUGCCGAUAACUAGCUAAAUUGAAGGAUCUUGCUUUUUCAGACGAUGCUAUAGAACACUAAUGAGAAGGAGGAGAUUCUAUGUUUAUUGCAAACACGGCGUCUAUUCACGGUGUCAACACGUAUAUUUUCGACCGCGGAAAUGAAUGAGGAAAAUUGUGAAAUUCCAGAAAACAUUGUGAAGAAAGCGCAAAAAGCCAAUGAAAAUGUGUUACCUGGAACAUCAGGAUCCAUAUAUGAAAAAGAAUACAAAAUUUUCCUUAAUUGGAAGAUUAAGAAGUGGCUUACUUCCAAGAAUUGUCAGAAAAAUAUUCACCCAGUUCCUUAUGGUGAAAAUACUCGAUGGUCAAGACAACUUUAAGAGUAAACGACAACAUAGACAUUUCUAAUUAUCAUCGUUUGACAUAUUUCUAUAAAAAAACCCAAAAGGUUAUGUGGCAAAAAAAUCCCGAGUUUUGACUGGCGAACAAGUCAUGCAAUUUCUAAAAGAUGCUUCCGACAACAGAUAUUUACUUCAGAAGGUAGUUGGAGGAUGAGUGAACACAAUUCAAGAUUUUUAUAUAAUACGUUAUUCGGUGAUAGCAGAAUGGAAGCAGUGGCAGAAAUAAUUCCAAUAGAGGCACCUCCGAAAAGUUUAAGUUUACCUGAAUAGUUUGGUAUGAAUAGCAAGUUUGUAAAUUGUAAUUUGUAUCUUCGUUAUUAAAUAAAUUGUCAAAAAAUAAAUAAGUGGUUAAAAAUAAACAAUAUUUUUUUU